CUGCCCUUUCGGAGGACAGGAAGCGGCGGACGGGUGAGGAACACGUGGAUAACCUAUCCCCCAGUGAGGAAUACCGGCGAGAAAUCGCCGACAAUACCGCAUAAGGUCCCUCUUGCGAGGGAGCAAAGCCGCAAGGCGCUGGGGGAGGGGUCUGCGUCCGAUUAGCUAGCUGGUGGGGUAAUGGCUCACCAGGGCGACGAUCGGUAGCUGGUCUGAGAGGAUGAUCAGCCACAUCUGGGAUUGAGAACGGCCCAGACUCCUACGGGGGGCAGCAGUGAGGAAUCUUCGGCAAUGGGGGCAACCCUGACCGAG
Molecule: ribosomal RNA, 312 nt
Filed under: uncultured bacterium
Lineage: Bacteria
Description: bacterial SSU rRNA
Rfam family: Bacterial small subunit ribosomal RNA
Source: RNAcentral